This 237-nucleotide long non-coding RNA is filed under the name Bos taurus (domestic cattle). Its description in RNAcentral is "long non-coding RNA NONBTAT017956". The record is from RNAcentral. Lineage: Eukaryota; Metazoa; Chordata; Mammalia; Artiodactyla; Bovidae.
UAUCCAUAAUAAUAUCCACAAAAGUCAUAAAUCUGUAGUGCUUGUUCUAAUACACAUUAAAAGUAGUACAUAGCUAUAAACAUUUCUGAAAAAUAUAUCAAGUGUUACAAAAUAUCACCUUCAUGCAUUCUAUUCAUGGCAUGAAGAAAUGAUUAAAAUAAAAUUUUAGUUUGACAAUCUAUCCAUAUUAACAAAUAAGUGAAAAUAUUAAGCUCAGUAAGAUCUUUUUGAAGGUCA